RNAcentral lists this ribosomal RNA (267 nucleotides) under uncultured bacterium. Its description in RNAcentral is "partial 16S ribosomal RNA". It matches the Rfam family "Bacterial small subunit ribosomal RNA", at positions 524 to 791 of the family's 1533-position model. The record is from RNAcentral.
UACGAAGGGGACUAGCGUUGUUCGGAAUCACUGGGCGUAAAGCGCACGUAGGCGGAUUUGUAAGUCAGGGGUGAAAUCCCGGGGCUCAACCUCGGAACUGCCUUUGAUACUGCGAAUCUUGAGUCCGAUAGAGGUGGGUGGAAUUCCUAGUGUAGAGGUGAAAUUCGUAGAUAUUAGGAAGAAACACCAGUGGCGAAGGCGGCCCACUGGAUCGGUACUGACGCUGAGGUGCGAAAGCGUGGGAGCAAACAGGAUUGAGAUACCGGU